RNAcentral lists this ribosomal RNA (301 nucleotides) under uncultured bacterium. RNAcentral's name for it is "partial 16S ribosomal RNA". It matches the Rfam family "Bacterial small subunit ribosomal RNA", at positions 509 to 807 of the family's 1533-position model. The record is from RNAcentral.
CAGUAGCCGCGGGAAUACGUAGGGUGCAAGCGUUAAUCGGAAUUACUGGGCGUAAAGCGUGCGCAGGCGGUUAUAUAAGACAUAUGUGAAAUCCCCGGGCUCAACCUGGGAACUGCAUUUGUGACUGUAUAGCUAGAGUACGGCAGAGGGGGAUGGAAUUCCGCGUGUAGCAGUGAAAUGCGUAGAUAUGCGGAGGAACACCGAUGGCGAAGGCAAUCCCCUGGGCCUGUACUGACGCUCAUGCACGAAAGCGUGGGGAGCAAACAGGAUUAGAUACCCCAGUAGUCCCUGUCUCUUAUAC